AGUGAACGCUGGCGGUAGGCCUAACACAUGCAAGUCGAAUGGCAGCACAGUAAGAGCUUGCUCUUACGGGUGGCGAGUGGCGGACGGGUGAGGAAUACAUCGGAAUCUACUUUUUCGUGGGGGAUAACGUAGGGAAACUUACGCUAAUACCGCAUACGACCUACGGGUGAAAGCAGGGGAUCUUCGGACCUUGCGCGAUUGAAUGAGCCGAUGUCGGAUUAGCUAGUUGGCGGGGUAAAGGCCCACCAAGGCGACGAUCCGUAGCUGGUCUGAGAGGAUGAUCAGCCACACUGGAACUGAGACACGGUCCAGACUCCUACGGGAGGCAGCAGUGGGGAAUAUUGGACAAUGGGCGCAAGCCUGAUCCAGCCAUACCGCGUGGGUGAAGAAGGCCUUCGGGUUGUAAAGCCCUUUUGUUGGGAAAGAAAAGCAGCAGGUUAAUACCCCGCUGUUCUGACGGUACCCAAAGAAUAAGCGCCGGCUAACUUCGUG
RNAcentral lists this ribosomal RNA (492 nucleotides) under uncultured bacterium. Its description in RNAcentral is "partial 16S ribosomal RNA". It matches the Rfam family "Bacterial small subunit ribosomal RNA", at positions 29 to 507 of the family's 1533-position model. The record is from RNAcentral.